Molecule: small RNA, 261 nt
Filed under: Pan troglodytes (chimpanzee)
Lineage: Eukaryota; Metazoa; Chordata; Mammalia; Primates; Hominidae
Description: retained intron
Source: RNAcentral
GGAAGUGGGUGUUGGAGGCUUUAAGGUAGCUUUAAAUUCGUGUUGUCCUGGGAGCUCGCCCUUUUCGGCUGGAGUCGGGCUUUACGGCGCCGGAUGGCUCUGGACGUGAAGUCUCGGGCAAAGCGUUAUGAGAAGCUGGACUUCCUUGGGGAGGGACAGUUUGCCACCGUUUACAAGGCCAGAGAUAAGAAUACCAACCAAAUUGUCGCCAUUAAGAAAGUGAGUUACCUUUUUAUGUUGUUUUUAAGUCUCCUUGAAGAU